Molecule: transfer RNA, 48 nt
Filed under: Acer negundo (box elder)
Lineage: Eukaryota; Viridiplantae; Streptophyta; Magnoliopsida; Sapindales; Sapindaceae
Also listed under: 50 other names
Description: partial tRNA-Leu
Source: RNAcentral
AAUCCGUCGACUUUAGAAAUCGUGAGGGUUCAAGUCCCUCUAUCCCCC